UACGUAGGGUGCAAGCGUUGUCCGGAUUUAUUGGGCGUAAAGAGCGUGUAGGCGGCUUUACAGGUCCGUUGUGAAAACUCGAGGCUCAACCUCGAGACGCCGGUGGAAACCGUAAAGCUAGAGUCCGGAAGAGGAGAGUGGAAUUCCUGGUGUAGCGGUGAAAUGCGCAGAUAUCAGGAGGAACACCCGUGGCGAAAGCGGCUCUCUGGGACGGUACUGACGCUGAGACGCGAAAGCGUGGGGAGCAAACAGG
This 253-nucleotide ribosomal RNA is filed under the name uncultured bacterium. RNAcentral describes it as "partial 16S ribosomal RNA". It matches the Rfam family "Bacterial small subunit ribosomal RNA", at positions 524 to 776 of the family's 1533-position model. The record is from RNAcentral.